CCGAGGGAGAGACGAUUUAUCUUUAUCUUCACGAUGAUACUUGUAAUAAACGCAAUGGUGCCACAAGUGGCACAAUUUUUCGUAUGCGAAAAUAUGGAGUGUGUCUAUGAAACUAUACCUCCACACAUGUUGGCAAUAAUGUUAUUGAUAAAAUAUUUCACUUUGCAUUUGAAUAAAAACCAGGUUAAGGACCUUACGGAUCGUUUGUUUAU
Nylanderia fulva is the source of this 212-nucleotide non-coding RNA. The record is from RefSeq and is a predicted model, not a curated record. NCBI's taxonomy places the organism in Eukaryota, Metazoa, Arthropoda, Insecta, Hymenoptera, Formicidae.